CCUACGGGUGGCAGCAGUGGGGGAUAUUGCACAAUGGGGGAAACCCUGAUGCAGCGACGCCGCGUGGGUGAAGAAGUAUUUCGGUAUGUAAAGCCCUAUUAGCAGGGAAGAAAGAAGACGGUACCUGACUAAGAAGCCCCGGCUAACUACGUGCCAGCAGCCGCGGUAAUACGUAGGGGGCGAGCGUUAUCCGGAUUCACUGGGUGUAAAGGGAGCGUAGACGGCCGUGCAAGCCAGGAGUGAAAGCCCGGGGCCCAACCCCGGGACUGCUCUUGGAACUGUGCGGCUGGAGUGCGGGAGGGGCAGGCGGAAUUCCUGGUGUAGCGGUGAAAUGCGUAGAUAUCAGGAGGAACACCGGCGGCGAAGGCGGCCUGCUGGACCGCGACUGACGUUGAGGCUCGAAAGCGUGGGGAGCGAACAGGAUUAGAUACCCUGGUAGUC
Molecule: ribosomal RNA, 441 nt
Filed under: uncultured bacterium
Lineage: Bacteria
Description: partial 16S ribosomal RNA
Rfam family: Bacterial small subunit ribosomal RNA
Source: RNAcentral